GCCUGGGUGGCUCAGUCAGUUGAGCGUCUGACUUCGGCUCAGGUAUGAUCUCAGUUUGUGGGUUCGAGCCCCGCAUCAGGCU
Molecule: transfer RNA, 82 nt
Filed under: Felis catus (domestic cat)
Lineage: Eukaryota; Metazoa; Chordata; Mammalia; Carnivora; Felidae
Rfam family: tRNA
About the family: Transfer RNA (tRNA) molecules are approximately 80 nucleotides in length. Their secondary structure includes four short double-helical elements and three loops (D, anti-codon, and T loops).
Source: Rfam by way of RNAcentral